ACCCUGGUGGUCCAAUGGCCAAGACUCCACACUCCGAAUGCAGGGGUCCCCGGGUUCAAUUCCUGGUCAGGGAA
Molecule: transfer RNA, 74 nt
Filed under: Capra hircus (goat)
Lineage: Eukaryota; Metazoa; Chordata; Mammalia; Artiodactyla; Bovidae
Also listed under: 1 other name
Rfam family: tRNA
About the family: Transfer RNA (tRNA) molecules are approximately 80 nucleotides in length.
Source: Rfam by way of RNAcentral